CGGGUGAGUAACGCGUGAGGAACCUGCCUCAAAGAGGGGGACAACAGUUGGAAACGGCUGCUAAUACCGCAUAAGCCCACGGCUCGGCAUCGAGCAGAGGGAAAAGGAGCAAUCCGCUUUGAGAUGGCCUCGCGUCCGAUUAGCUAGUUGGUGAGGUAAUGGCCCACCAAAGCAACGAUCGGUAGCCGGACUGAGAGGUUGAACGGCCACAUUGGGACUGAGACACGGCCCAG
Molecule: ribosomal RNA, 233 nt
Filed under: uncultured bacterium
Lineage: Bacteria
Description: partial 16S ribosomal RNA
Rfam family: Bacterial small subunit ribosomal RNA
Source: RNAcentral